Molecule: ribosomal RNA, 492 nt
Filed under: uncultured bacterium
Lineage: Bacteria
Description: partial 16S ribosomal RNA
Rfam family: Bacterial small subunit ribosomal RNA
Source: RNAcentral
AGUGAACGCUGGCGGUAGGCCUAACACAUGCAAGUCGAACGGCAGCACAGUAAGAGCUUGCUCUUACGGGUGGCGAGUGGCGGACGGGUGAGGAAUACAUCGGAAUCUACUUUUUCGUGGGUGAUAACGUAGGGAAACUUACGCUAAUACCGCAUACGACCUACGGGUGUAAGCAUGGGAUCUUCGGACCUUGCGCGAUUGAAUGAGCCGAUGUCGGAUUAGCUAGUUGUCGGGGUAAAGGCCCACCAAGGCGACGAUCCGUAGCUGGUCUGAGAGGAUGAUCAGCCACACUGGAACUGAGACACGGUCCAGACUCCUACGGGAGGCAGCAGUGGGGAAUAUUGGACAAUGGGCGCAAGCCUGAUCCAGCCAUACCGCGUGGGUGAAGAAGGCCUUCGGGUUGUAAAGCCCUUUUGUUGGGAAAGAAAAGCAGCAGGUUAAUACCCCGCUGUUCUGACGGUACCCAAAGAAUAAGCACCGGCUAACUUCGUG